This 708-nucleotide unclassified non-coding RNA is filed under the name Hevea brasiliensis (rubber tree). The record is from RNAcentral. Lineage: Eukaryota; Viridiplantae; Streptophyta; Magnoliopsida; Malpighiales; Euphorbiaceae.
AAAAUAAACCUUGCAUAUCACCCAGAAAAAGCAAAUAUUGUCCUAUUAUCAAUGAAACAGAUGUUCCAAAUACAGUCACAGACAGGCCUCCAGGGGACCAAGUUUGAACCGCUGCUUAAUUUUUCAAAAAAAAAUUGAAAAAAAAAAAAAAAAAAAAAAAAGAAAAAAAAGGAAGAAGAAGAAGAAGAAACCUAAAAUGUUGAACUAAUAUGACGUAAUUAGCCUACUCUUUCUUGGUGAAGUGUCGAACUGCAAAGGCUAAGCCUAAGAUCAAAAGAGGCACGAGAAACUGCAAGAUCUUAAUAAAAAACUCUGAUCUAUUAUUGUGAUUGUAGGAAGUUUGCUGUGGAGGAAUGUGGGUACGUUUUGCUGGAACAGUUGAUGCAUCUAUUUCACCAAUGUAGUAUUUUGCCAUCAUUUCUCUAGCAGAAUCACUGUGACCCACAUCUUCAAAAUCAUUUGUUGCAUCUUUCCCAGUUGAUGACAGCAGAACUUCAUCUCCUCCAGGAUGGUCAUCCAUGAAGGGGGUGACAUCAUACACCUUGCCAGAGAUGAUAAGCCAACAAUCCUUAGCUUUGUUGUGCUUUGCAACCUCAUCGAAUUUGUGAAUUUUGGGAUCUGAAGCCAUCGUUUUCUCCCCUAAAGUCUUGCAGAGAAGGUGUGUUCAAAGCCAACUCUUUGUUUUUGUCAACUGACCUGUCAAAGCCC